AAGCUUCGUGCGAAUUUCUCAAAGAGUAGCCUGGAGCCGGCAUCAAACUAUAAAUUGCUUAUGAAGGCGACACAGCUGGAUUUAUGCGCGGCCAGCUUGACUCAGUGCCACGAGCAGCGCGAGCAUAUUAAUUACGAGAUGGAGCUGCUAAAAAAAAAAAAAGGAAAAGUUGAAAAAACUGUGCCACGAAGAAGAGGAAAAGUUGGCAUUAAUUAAAAAUAAAGAGGCAAUUAAGGUAUGACAGUUCAGUUGAGGCAGGAACAGUACAAAGAACCGAAUGCGUGCCACUAUAGAGCAGGUAGAGUCCGUCAAAAAUGAGCUGAGCAAAUUGCGCAAAACUUAGCAAAGCCUGCAAUGGGAAAUGGAAUUAUGCUGAGCAACAAAUCGAACAAAAUGUCCGUGUAUGGGGAGCACGCAAUGCAAGUGUCCAAUGCAUUGAGCGUUAAGUACAGUGGCAGCAAUGCGCACAGAAUGCCACGUGGACCUAU
This is a long non-coding RNA of Drosophila montana, 488 nucleotides long. RefSeq lists it as uncharacterized. The record is from RefSeq and is a predicted model, not a curated record. NCBI's taxonomy places the organism in Eukaryota, Metazoa, Arthropoda, Insecta, Diptera, Drosophilidae. The transcript has 4 exons.